CUGGUUGAUCCUGCCAGUAGUGAUAUGCUUGUUUCAAAGAUUAAGCCAUGCAUGUCUAAGUAUAAGCGAACUUAUACAGUGAAACUGCGGAUGGCUCAUUAAAACAGUUUGAAUUUAUUUGAUGAAUGUAUGAGAAUACUACUUGGAUAACCGUAGUAAUUCUAGAGCUAAUACAUGCAACGACGCCCGACCGUUUCACUACGGAAGGGCUGUAUUUAUUGGAUACCAAAACCAUCCUUCCCUCGGGAAGUUUUGUUUGAUGAUUCACAAUAACUGAUCGGAUCGCCACUGUGGUGGCGACAGGUCAUUCAACAUUCUGCCCUAUCAGCUUUCGAUGGUUGCGUAGUGGACAACCAUGGCCAUAACGGGUAACGGAGAAUCAGGGUUCGAUUCCGGAGAAGGAGCUUGAGAAUUGGCUACUACAUCUAAGGAAGGCAGCAGGCGCGCAAAUUACCCAAUCCCGAUUCGGGGAGGUAGUGACAAAAAAUAACAAUACCGGGCCUUUUUGGGCUUGGUAAUUGGAAUGAGGGAGAGUUAAACGGACCAUCGAGUAUCCAUUGGAGGGCAAGUCUGGUGCCAGCAGCUGCGGUAAUAUCAGCUCCAAUAGCGUAUAUUAAAGUUGUUGCAGUUAAAAAGCUCGUAGUUGGACUUGUGUGCGCUGUCCGCGGGUGGCCUGCGCCCAAAAGGGCGUUUCGGUUCGGCCCCGGUGGCGCCUUGAAAUCUGCAGCUGGGGGGACGUUGGCCUUAACUGGUCGGCGACCGCACGCCGGCUGCUCGGUUACUGUGAGAAAAUUAGAGUGUUCAAGGCAGGCAUUGGGUGCAAUUGAAUACAUUAGCAUGGAAUAAUAAAAUAUGGCUCCUGCCGUAUUUUGUUGGUUUUGACUGGUGGGAGUAAUGAUUGAUAGGGACGGUUGGGGGUGCUAGUAUUGAGCGGCCAGAGGUGAAAUUCAUGGAUUCGCUCAAGACUAACUUAUGCGAAAGCAUUCACCAAGGACGUCCUCUUUAAUCAAGAACGAAAGUUGGGGGAUCGAAGACGAUCAGAUACCGUCGUAGUCUCAACCAUAAACUAUGUCGACUUGGGAUCGGCGGUAGUUUUUUCAUUAAGACACUGUCGGGACCACGGGAGAAAUCAAAGUGUCUGGACUCUGGGGGAAGUAUGGUCGCAAGGCUGAAACUUGAAGGAAUUGACGGAAGGGCACCACCAGGAGUGGAGCCUGCGGCUUAAUUUGACCCAACACGGGGAAACUUACCAGGUCCAGAGAUAUAGAGGAUUGACAGGUUGAAGCUCUUUCUUGAUCACUUCGGUGGUGGUGCAUGGCCGUUCUUAGUUGGUGGAGUGACUUGUCUGGUUAAUUCCGUUAACGAACGAGACCUCAGCCUGCUAG
This 1385-nucleotide ribosomal RNA is filed under the name metagenome. Its description in RNAcentral is "SSU rRNA". It matches the Rfam family "Eukaryotic small subunit ribosomal RNA", at positions 4 to 1354 of the family's 1831-position model. The record is from RNAcentral.